GUCCGUGUAGCGCAAUGGAUAGCGAGUUGGACUUCUAAUCCAAAGGUUGUGGGUUCGAAUCCCACCUGAGAUG
Molecule: transfer RNA, 73 nt
Filed under: Trichonephila inaurata madagascariensis
Lineage: Eukaryota; Metazoa; Arthropoda; Arachnida; Araneae; Nephilidae
Rfam family: tRNA
About the family: Transfer RNA (tRNA) molecules are approximately 80 nucleotides in length.
Source: Rfam by way of RNAcentral